UACGUAGGGUGCGAGCGUUAAUCGGAAUUACUGGGCGUAAAGCGUGCGCAGGCGGUAAGUUAAGUCUGAUGUGAAAGCCCCGGGCUCAACCUGGGAAUGGCAUUGGAAACUGGCUUGCUAGAGUGUGGCAGAGGGGGGUGGAAUUCCGCGUGUAGCAGUGAAAUGCGUAGAUAUCUGGAGGAAUACCGGUGGCGAAGGCGGCAUCCUGGACCAUUACUGACGCUGAGGCGCGAAAGCUAGGGGAGCAAACGGG
Molecule: ribosomal RNA, 253 nt
Filed under: uncultured bacterium
Lineage: Bacteria
Description: partial 16S ribosomal RNA
Rfam family: Bacterial small subunit ribosomal RNA
Source: RNAcentral